RNAcentral lists this long non-coding RNA (407 nucleotides) under Homo sapiens (human). RNAcentral's name for it is "non-protein coding lnc-KYNU-10:1". Lineage: Eukaryota; Metazoa; Chordata; Mammalia; Primates; Hominidae. The record is from RNAcentral.
AAUGAUCGAUGAACACAUGAAAAGUUUCUUGAUAUUAAAAGUCACCAGUGGAUAAAAAUUAAAAUCCCAAUGGGAUAUGAGUUUAUACCCACCAAAAAGGCUAAAAUUAAAAAGACUAUUAAUGUGAAAUAUUGGUGAAAAUAAUGAGCAACUGGAACUCUUGUACAUUGCUGAUGAGAGUAUAAAAUGGUACAAUCAUUUUAGAAAAGCAUUUGUAAGUGUCUUAAAAAUUGAACAUGCUCCUAAUCCAUGACCCCAAAAUCCUUCUCCUAAUUGUAUACUCAAGAGCAAUGAAAACAUUUGUCAACCAAAAUGACUUGUACCAGAAUCCACAAGCUUUUUUCCUCAUAGCCAAAAACUGAAAAAUGACUCAUAAGCUCAUCAAAAGGGAGAUUUGUCAACAAAUU